This 402-nucleotide ribosomal RNA is filed under the name bacterium. RNAcentral describes it as "partial 16S ribosomal RNA". It matches the Rfam family "Bacterial small subunit ribosomal RNA", at positions 355 to 776 of the family's 1533-position model. The record is from RNAcentral.
UGGGGAAUAUUGCACAAUGGGGAAACCCUGAUGCAGCGACGCCGCGUGAACGAAGAAGGUAUUCGUAUCGUAAAGUUCUGUCCUAUGGGAAGAUAAUGACAGUACCAUAGAAGAAAGCUCCGGCUAAAUACGUGCCAGCAGCCGCGGUAAUACGUAUGGAGCGAGCGUUGUCCGGAAUUAUUGGGCGUAAAGGGUACGCAGGCGGUUUAAUAAGUCGAAUGUUAAAGAUCGGGGCUCAACCCCGUAAAGCAUUGGAAACUGAUAAACUUGAGUAGUGGAGAGGAAAGUGGAAUUCCUAGUGUAGUGGUGAAAUACGUAGAUAUUAGGAGGAAUACCAGUAGCGAAGGCGACUUUCUGGACACAAACUGACGCUGAGGUACGAAAGCGUGGGGAGCAAACAGG